UGUCAGGAAAAAUAAUAUUAUACAAAUAUCAAAUCCAAGAAGAAUUCUGUUGCAAUCAGGAAAAAAGUUUGUUUCUCUGGUUUUUCCCUAAACCUUGUAACAAGACUACUACUGAAGUUUUUUAACUCAACCCUUUCGGUAGGAAUGAACACUUAAUCCAUUAUAAUUUGGUCCCGACAGUAAUUUAAAAUUUUGGAUCCCAUGGCAUUUGCUUGGGUGUAUAGGCACUCCGGCCCCAAGGUUAGACGACAUUGAGUAUAUUCGAUUGAGAUUCAAGACGAGUCUAUAGACUGGUAAAUCAACUGUUCUGCACGGAUUUGCUCGGAGGUAGAAAGCCUUGCCGUUGAGAGAAGCAUCCAUUUGAUGCAAGGAUAAGUUUGAUGGGGAAAAAAGGGGCAGAGGAGGUGUCGAAGAAACAACAGUUGAAAGCUCCCAAAAGAAGGAAACAAGAAAGAGAGAAGUUGUUAAGCAGAGGAAAAAAGAAAAAUUCGAUGGAAGAGCACCACGUAAAGAACCAGAAACAGGUUCCGAAGGUCGAACUAUCAAAAAAUUGAACCGCACAGGAAGAAAAUGCUAUCAUCAACGAGCUCUUACUCUAGGGAACAGAUAGAUCUUAGCACAUUCUUUCCGCACCGCAUUUUCGAGAAAACAAAGUCACAAGAUUCUCUACAGGAGAAAGAAGACAAGUUAGCUUCUCUAUUUACCAUGGUUGAAAAAAUAUCUACCCAAAUGGAUUUGGUUCUAAAGCAUGUCACAAACAUUGAUACUGAACUCGUAAAUUUUUUCAAGAACUAUAACCGUAUCAUUGGUUACUAGGAAAUAAUUGAGGCUAGACUCGUUCAGCUAGAAAAUUACUCAAUUGAAGAAGGUGAUCAAACAGGUGAUGCGUCUCAAAAAUUUGCGGAAUUUAAAUCCAGGCUUGCGUAGUUUAAUCCUCGUUAGUUGAUUUUUAGUUGAACUACUUCUAGUAGAUGUCUAGUCAUGCAAUCCUUUCAACUUUUUUUUGUUUUUGAUAAAC
Molecule: long non-coding RNA, 1018 nt
Organism: Papaver somniferum (opium poppy)
Lineage: Eukaryota; Viridiplantae; Streptophyta; Magnoliopsida; Ranunculales; Papaveraceae
Exons: 3
Source: RefSeq, a predicted model, not a curated record